CGAACGGGUGAGUAACGCGUAGGUAACCUGCCUUAUACAGGGGGAUAACAGUCAGAAAUGGCUGCUAAUACCGCAUAAGCGCACAGCUUCGCAUGGAGCAGUGUGAAAAACUCUGGUGGUAUGAGAUGGACCCGCGUCUGAUUAGCUGGUUGGUAAGGUAACGGCUUACCAAGGCGACGAUCAGUAGCCGACCCGAGAGGGUGACCGGCCACAUUGGGACUGAGACACGGCCCAAACUCCUACGGGAGGCAGCAUG
Molecule: ribosomal RNA, 256 nt
Filed under: uncultured bacterium
Lineage: Bacteria
Description: partial 16S ribosomal RNA
Rfam family: Bacterial small subunit ribosomal RNA
Source: RNAcentral